This 1028-nucleotide ribosomal RNA is filed under the name Montagnula camporesii. RNAcentral's name for it is "SSU rRNA". It matches the Rfam family "Eukaryotic small subunit ribosomal RNA", at positions 74 to 1110 of the family's 1831-position model. The record is from RNAcentral. Lineage: Eukaryota; Fungi; Ascomycota; Dothideomycetes; Pleosporales; Didymosphaeriaceae.
UUAUACCGUGAAACUGCGAAUGGCUCAUUAAAUCAGUUAUCGUUUAUUUGAUAGUACCUUACUACAUGGAUAACCGUGGUAAUUCUAGAGCUAAUACAUGCUAAAAACCCCAACUUCGGGAGGGGUGUAUUUAUUAGAUAAAAAACCAAUGCCCUUCGGGGCUCCUUGGUGAUUCAUAAUAACUUCUCAGAUCGCAUAGCCUUGAGCUGGCGACGGUUCAUUCAAAUUUCUGCCCUAUCAACUUUCGAUGGUAAGGUAGUGGCUUACCAUGGUUUCAACGGGUAACGGGGAAUUAGGGUUCGAUUCCGGAGAGGGAGCCUGAGAAACGGCUACCACAUCCAAGGAAGGCAGCAGGCGCGCAAAUUACACAAUUCCGAUACGGAGAUGUAGUGACAAUAAAUACUGAUACAGGGCUCUUUUGGGUCUUGUAAUUGGAAUGAGUACAAUUUAAACCUCUUAACGAGGAACAAUUGGAGGGCAAGUCUGGUGCCAGCAGCCGCGGUAAUUCCAGCUCCAAUAGCGUAUAUUAAAGUUGUUGCAGUUAAAAAGCUCGUAGUUGAACCUUUGGCCUGGCUGGCAGGUCCGCCUCACCGCGUGCACUUGUCCGGCCGGGCCUUUUCUUCUGGAGAACCGCAUGCCCUUCACUGGGUGUGUUGGGGACCAGGACUUUUACUUUGAAAAAAUUAGAGUGUUCAAAGCAGGCCUUUGCUCGAAUACGUUAGCAUGGAAUAAUAGAAUAGGACGUCGCGGUCCUAUUUUGUUGGUUUCUAGGACCGCCGUAAUGAUUAAUAGGGACAGUCGGGGGCAUCAGUAUUCAAUUGUCAGAGGUGAAAUUCUUGGAUUUAUUGAAGACUAACUACUGCGAAAGCAUUUGCCAAGGAUGUUUUCAUUAAUCAGUGAACGAAAGUUAGGGGAUCGAAGACGAUCAGAUACCGUCGUAGUCUUAACCAUAAACUAUGCCGACUAGGGAUCGGGCGGUGUUUCUAAUGUGACCCGCUCGGCACCUUACGAGAAAUCAAAGUGUUUGG